CGGCAGGUCGGUCCGCGGGUGGCCGCCCGCUUCGGGCGGGUGCUGCUGGAGCUGGGCGGCAACAAUGCGGCGAUCGUGACACCGUCGGCCGACC
This 94-nucleotide transfer RNA is filed under the name Mycobacterium triplex. RNAcentral describes it as "tRNA-Arg". The record is from RNAcentral. Lineage: Bacteria; Bacillati; Actinomycetota; Actinomycetes; Mycobacteriales; Mycobacteriaceae.